UGAUAUUGCUCGCUAGACCGCCGAUCCGA
Molecule: small RNA, 29 nt
Filed under: Bombyx mori (domestic silkworm)
Lineage: Eukaryota; Metazoa; Arthropoda; Insecta; Lepidoptera; Bombycidae
Description: ovarian small RNA-32571
Source: RNAcentral